CGCAAACUUGUAGCGCCUCCGCUGCUUCUUCUUUUGUCUGUAUUUUUUUAUUUUAUUCUUUUCGCUUUUGUGGUCGUUUGUUUUCAUUUGGUCAACAGUGGCUCCUAUAAGUAUGGGUGUCUCCGUGUCCGUAAAUUCAAACUCUUGCGUUUCCCUUUCGGUGUAUGGAUUCUAUUUUCUCUUCUAAUUCCUCAUCAAUCUCCUGUUUGAAACCUCGUUUCUUGGAAUCUUCUAAAUCGGCGAUUACUACUUCCCGGAAUCUCUCUUCUUCGAUCUGUUUUAGUGCUCCGACUUCGGAUUCAGGUUCAGAUUCCGCUUUCUCUAUGAUCGGAUUCUCCAGAGCCUCUAUGUCUAACGUUAACGGCAACGGCAACGGCAACAUCAAGCCGAAGAUCGUGAACGGUGAUUUCGGUUACGUUCUUGAAGAUGUUCCUCACUUGACGGAUUACAUUCCUGAUCUUCCUACUUAUUCCAAUCCUCUACAAGACAAUCCGGCAUACUCGGUUGUUAAGCAAUACUUUGUCCAUGUGGAUGACACUGUUCCUCAAAAGAUUGUUGUGCACAAGGAUGGUCCAAGAGGGAUACAUUUCCGACGCGCUGGACCACGCCAAAAGGUUUAUUUUGAAUCAGAUGAAGUUCAUGCUUGCAUUGUAACAUGUGGGGGUCUCUGCCCUGGACUCAACACUGUGAUUAGGGAACUAGUAUGUGGUUUGCACCAUAUGUAUGGCGUGAAGAGAGUGCUGGGAAUUGAUGGUGGUUACAGGGGAUUUUAUGCUCGAAAUACCAUUAACCUGACACCUAAAGUUGUAAAUGAUAUUCAUAAACGUGGUGGGACCAUCCUUGGGACAUCACGAGGCGGCCAUGACACUGCAAAGAUAGUUGAUAGCAUUCAGGAUCGAGGAAUUAAUCAGGUUUACAUAAUCGGAGGGGAUGGAACUCAAAAAGGGGCAUCAGUGAUAUUUGAGGAAAUUAGAAGAAGAGGUCUCAAAGUUGCAGUUGCUGGAAUUCCCAAAACCAUUGAUAAUGACAUUCCAGUUAUUGACAA
This 1045-nucleotide unclassified non-coding RNA is filed under the name Hevea brasiliensis (rubber tree). Lineage: Eukaryota; Viridiplantae; Streptophyta; Magnoliopsida; Malpighiales; Euphorbiaceae. The record is from RNAcentral.